CGGGGUGUAGCGCAGUUGGUAGCGCGCCUGCUUUGGGAGCAGGAUGCCGUGGGUUCGAGUCCCGUCACUCCGACCA
This 76-nucleotide transfer RNA is filed under the name Ruminococcus sp. Its description in RNAcentral is "tRNA-Pro". It matches the Rfam family "tRNA". Rfam says of the family: Transfer RNA (tRNA) molecules are approximately 80 nucleotides in length. Their secondary structure includes four short double-helical elements and three loops (D, anti-codon, and T loops). Lineage: Bacteria; Bacillati; Bacillota; Clostridia; Eubacteriales; Oscillospiraceae. RNAcentral also lists the same sequence under 1 other name. The record is from RNAcentral.